Molecule: microRNA precursor, 250 nt
Filed under: Medicago truncatula (barrel medic)
Lineage: Eukaryota; Viridiplantae; Streptophyta; Magnoliopsida; Fabales; Fabaceae
Description: MIR2655 microRNA precursor family
Rfam family: MIR2655 microRNA precursor family
Source: Rfam by way of RNAcentral
CCCUUAACUAUUAAAAGUUUCAUUUUGGUCCUUUAAAUUACUUUUUGGUUUCGUUUUGGUCCCUUAACUCUUCCUCCGUCAACCACUUUGAUCCUUUAUGUUAGGAUGAAUGUAUUAGAGUUAAGGGACCAAAAUGAAAUCAAAAAAUAAGUUAAGGGAUCAAAACGAAACCAAAAAAUAGGUUAAGGGACCAAAACGAAAUCAAAAAAUAAGUUAAGGGACCAAAACGAAACUUUUAAUAGUUAAGGGA